This 497-nucleotide ribosomal RNA is filed under the name uncultured bacterium. RNAcentral describes it as "partial 16S ribosomal RNA". It matches the Rfam family "Bacterial small subunit ribosomal RNA", at positions 28 to 507 of the family's 1533-position model. The record is from RNAcentral.
GACGAACGCUGGCGGCGUGCCUAAUACAUGCAAGUAGAACGCUGAAGAGAGGAGCUUGCUCUUCUUGGAUGAGUUGCGAACGGGUGAGUAACGCGUAGGUAACCUGCCUGGUAGCGGGGGAUAACUAUUGGAAACGAUAGCUAAUACCGCAUAAAAUGGAUUAUCGCAUGAUAAUCCAUUGAAAGGUGCAAAUGCAUCACUACCAGAUGGACCUGCGUUGUAUUAGCUAGUUGGUGGGGUAACGGCUCACCAAGGCGACGAUACAUAGCCGACCUGGGAGGGUGAUCGGCCACACUGGGACUGAGACACGGCCCAGACUCCUACGGGAGGCAGCAGUAGGGAAUCUUCGGCAAUAGACGGAAGUCUGACCGAGCAACGCCGCGUGAGUGAAGAAGGUUUUCGGAUCGUAAAGCUCUGUUGUAAGAGAAGAACGAGUGUGAGAGUGGAAAGUUCACACUGUGACGGUAUCUUACCAGAAAGGGACGGCUAACUACGUG